Molecule: long non-coding RNA, 1427 nt
Organism: Bombina bombina (fire-bellied toad)
Lineage: Eukaryota; Metazoa; Chordata; Amphibia; Anura; Bombinatoridae
Exons: 2
Source: RefSeq, a predicted model, not a curated record
UUUAAAGAAGGGGAACAACGACAAAGUCUCUCUCUAGUUGUGAUGAAGUUUCUCUGAUAGCGCUCAGGGAGUUGCUUUUUAACUCAGUAGAGAUCUAAAGAAGAUGUUCAAGUUUUUGUCUGUACAGCUGAAAUUGCACUUCUAUAGCAAUAAAAGUAAUUGUGUUAUGUGCAUGAUAUAUAUCAGCAAUUAAGCCAAACAAGUUUAAUAGGACCUUGACACUGCAGAGCAGCCAAAGAAUACACCCGCUGAAAAAUCCUGAUGAAAUUUGUGUUUCCUGUUCUACCUUGUUGAAGCUAAUUGGAGUCUAAUCUCAAAUGCCAUUUGAGACUUACUGUAGCGUUCCCUCUGGAUAACUGCAGUAUGCACUGAGUGGUGACUCGAUUCUGGUCUCCUCUCUUACUGGGUGGUUGCUCAUGUGAGACUCACUGUAGUAUUAACGUAUACCCAGACAAUCUCAUGAUAACUGCAGUAUUGAGAGAGGUGAUAUGUGACAUGUAUUGUAGCAUUGUUGUAUACCCAGACAAUCUCAUGAUAACUGCAGUAUUGAGAGAGGUGAUAUGUGACAUGUAUUGUAGCAUUGUUGUAUACCCAGACAAUCUCAUGAUAACUGCAGUAUUGAGAGAGGUGAUAUGUGACAUGUAUUGUAGCAUUGUUGUAUACCCAGACAAUCUCAUGAUAACUGCAGUAUUGAGAGAGGUGAUAUGGGAGACUUAUUGUAUCAUUGUUGUAUACAGAGGCAAUCUCAGGUUAACUGCAGUAUUGAGAGAGGUGGCAUGUGAGACUUAUUGUAUCAUUGUUGUAUACAAAGGCAAUCUCAGGUUAACUGCAGUAUUGAGAGAGGUGGCAUGUGAGACUUAUUGUAGUAUUGUUGUAUACACAGUCUCAGGAUAACUGCAGUAUUGAGAGAGGUGACAUGUGAGACUUUUUGUGGCAACAGGAUAAAUCCUGUAUGCUGCAGGUAAAUUACAGGAAUAACAGGCACAAAUAAUAAUCACUGUACAUAAUAAUGUAUCAACAAUGCUUAAAGGGACAUUCUACACUAGAUUUUUCUUGCAGAAAUGUUUUUUUAGAUGAUCCAUUUACAGGUGAAACUCGAAAAAUUAGAAUAUCGUGCAAAAGUUCAUUUAUUUCACUAAUGCAACCUAAAAGGUGAAACUAAUAUAUGAGAGAGACUCAUUACAUGCAAAGCAAUAUAGUUCAAGCCGUGAUUUGUCAUAAUUGUGAUGAUUAUGGCUUACAUUUGAUAGUAGAAAUAAACUGGAAAAAUUGUUUAAAUUGUAUGGUAAUGGGUAAUAAAGGGAUUAUCUAUCUUUUUAAACAAUAAGCAUUUUCGAGUUGACUGUCCCUUUAGCAUUUUUGCUUAAUUUAAAUAUAUUGCCUUUUAUGUUAUUCCAAAUUAAAUAAAAAAAAAAAAAUUCCUUACA